Molecule: ribosomal RNA, 256 nt
Filed under: uncultured bacterium
Lineage: Bacteria
Description: partial small subunit ribosomal RNA
Rfam family: Bacterial small subunit ribosomal RNA
Source: RNAcentral
AGGACGAACGCUGGCGGCGUGCUUAACACAUGCAAGUCGAGCGGAAAGGCCCUUCGGGGUACUCGAGCGGCGAACGGGUGAGUAACACGUGGGUAACCUGCCCCUUGCUCUGGGAUAACUCCGGGAAACCGGGGCUAAUACCGGAUAUGACACUCGCAGGCAUCUGCUGGGUGUGGAAAGUUUUUCGGCGAGGGAUGGGCCCGCGGCCUAUCAGCUUGUUGGUGGGGUGAUGGCCUACCGAAGGCAGUGACGGGUA